AUCUCAUGGUGAGGGUAUUGAAGUAGUAGCUCUUUGAAUCUUUCCCAUGCCUCGUAUAGAGACUCAUCAUCCAUCAACUAAAAAGUGAUGAUCUCAUUCUAUAACU
Molecule: small nucleolar RNA, 106 nt
Organism: Gossypium raimondii (Peruvian cotton)
Lineage: Eukaryota; Viridiplantae; Streptophyta; Magnoliopsida; Malvales; Malvaceae
Rfam family: Plant small nucleolar RNA R71
About the family: R71 is a member of the C/D box family of snoRNAs containing the C (UGAUGA) and D (CUGA) box motifs. Multiple nearly identical copies of this snoRNA have been identified in Arabidopsis, and it is thought to function as a 2'-O-ribose methylation guide for 18S ribosomal RNA.
Source: Rfam